UGAUAUGAGGGCAGUUUGUGAUAUUUGUCACUCCUUUGAUCUCCAGGAUUGAUUCAGCUGAUCUGGCUGGCUAGGCUGGUUUCUCCUAUCCCUCACUACUCAAUGUGUGUUCUUCACAAAGGUGUAUGCUGGGUUAAAGAUAACUUUCUCCUAUUGAGGAUAUUGAGGAGAAUCAAUCUUUGGUCAAGGAUAUUUAUUUGAUUUGCUGCACCCUGUGCUGGAACCUCCAUACAAGCUCUUAUAAUUCAUUUGUAGGAGAAUGUAGUCAAGCUUCCAAACUCCAGAUAUAACCAAAUGUGGUGCUAUUUGUGGCAGUCGGCCUUUCUUU
Molecule: small nuclear RNA, 328 nt
Filed under: Canis lupus dingo (dingo)
Lineage: Eukaryota; Metazoa; Chordata; Mammalia; Carnivora; Canidae
Description: 7SK RNA (ENSCAFG00020027367.1)
Rfam family: 7SK RNA
About the family: 7SK was discovered as an abundant small nuclear RNA in the mid-70s but a possible function has only recently been suggested.
Source: RNAcentral